ACCCGCAUGAUAAAAGUAAUGGAAAAUCCGGACAAUGACAUUCACUUGGACAAUUCUGGUAGGACCUCCUCUCUCAAAACUUAGUAUAACGAAUUUUCGCUGAACAUUUUUUCUCUUUUAAGAAGUCAAAUGCGGUCUGAAAUCCAUGUUGUGUUUUCAUCAUGUUUGAUGCUCAAAGAGGUCCAGGUGAACUGCCAGGAGAAGAUGGAGGUGUGUGAGGAGAGCACAGAGAACUCUCAGAUGGACACUUUGGGAAAGAGGACAUCUGACCUGGAAGUGGUCAUUAAGAGGACCCGGAGCGGACGCGUCACCAGGUCCACCCUGGUCAGUGCCCCCCAAAAACGCACAACCAUAUCUAACUCCUACUGGUUCUGUUCAAAUGGAAGACAUCUUUGUAUAACGUCAUGUAAAAAUGAUCAUGGAGGAUGUAUAUCUGUGGGACUAGUGUAUCUGACUAGCUUCUCAAACACUUCCCUGCAGUCUGUGAUUUACUGUCUUUGUUCUGUGUGUGUGUGCGCAGGAGAGAAAGGCUGA
This 534-nucleotide long non-coding RNA is filed under the name Oncorhynchus mykiss (rainbow trout). RNAcentral describes it as "lncRNA (ENSOMYG00000060373.1)". Lineage: Eukaryota; Metazoa; Chordata; Actinopteri; Salmoniformes; Salmonidae. The record is from RNAcentral.